This 500-nucleotide ribosomal RNA is filed under the name uncultured bacterium. RNAcentral describes it as "partial 16S ribosomal RNA". It matches the Rfam family "Bacterial small subunit ribosomal RNA", at positions 30 to 523 of the family's 1533-position model. The record is from RNAcentral.
AUUGAACGCUGGCGGCAUGCUUUACACAUGCAAGUCGAACGGUAACAGGGUGCUUGCACCGCUGACGAGUGGCGAACGGGUGAGUAAUGCGUCGGAACGUGCCGAGUAGUGGGGGAUAACGCAGCGAAAGUUGUGCUAAUACCGCAUACGUACUGAGGUAGAAAGUGGGGGACCUUCGGGCCUCACGCUAUUCGAGCGGCCGACGUCUGAUUAGCUAGUAGGUGAGGUAAAGGCUCACCUAGGCGACGAUCAGUAGCGGGUCUGAGAGGAUGAUCCGCCACACUGGGACUGAGACACGGCCCAGACCCCUACGGGAGGCAGCAGUGGGGAAUUUUGGACAAUGGGCGAAAGCCUGAUCCAGCCAUGCCGCGUGUCUGAAGAAGGCCUUCGGGUUGUAAAGGACUUUUGUCAGGGAGGAAAUCCCUAGUGCUAAUAACACUGGGGGAUGACAGUACCUGAAGAAGAAGCACCGGCUAACUACGUGCCAGCCGCCGCGGUAA